Molecule: long non-coding RNA, 2760 nt
Filed under: Cyanistes caeruleus (blue tit)
Lineage: Eukaryota; Metazoa; Chordata; Aves; Passeriformes; Paridae
Description: lncRNA (ENSCCEG00000023116.1)
Source: RNAcentral
CUUGAAUGUUUUGCACUGGGAUCACGUGUUACUGACCACAGUUUUAAAAGGGCAGAACAUCACUGGGCAGAGAAGACAGAAAGGAAGGAAAAUGUACCUGUGGGAGGCACUCCCUGUUGUGGAAGCUCGAGUGGAGAAACUGCUGGAGAAAAAAAAGUGAGAUUGGUUUGGCUUUCUCAUUUUGGGAGCUCCAAUUCUUCUAUUUUGACAGUUCCAAACCUCUUUGCUUUGGUAUAAUCAGGAAAAACAAAACAAAGAAUUACUUUUCUUUUUUUUAAUUUAUUUUUUUUUUCUCAGCACGGCCAGAAACUUUUUGAAGCUUCUCAAAGGCCUUGGAAUGCCUCAGGACCAAAAAAUAGAUUGCUGGAGUGGCUCAUUUCUGUGUCUCCAUAAACCCUACAGGUUUUGCACGUUCAUUUUUCAAGGAAUUCUUCUUCAUCAAAGGCUGACAAGUGGAGGGCAGCCAGAAAAGCCUGUCCUGGGUCUUCAGAGGGAUUUCUGUACUCCAGAAAAUCCAAUAUUCCAAAUCAUCCAGUCCACUUAAAGAAUUCAACUGAAAAGCAACCUCUGGUGUUACCUUGCCAGAGCUGAGAUAACCUGGGGAUAACCUCCAGGGCUUUAUUUCCAGCUGUGUUUCUGUCCUGCUGUGCAAUGUCUCUUGUGGGAAGCUCUCCUUUCAUUGCAGGAAGUGUUUUCCACUUCCUUCCCCUUCCUUCUCACCUUCUGGUUUCCUCCCCAGGUACAAGGAGGUUGUUCGGUACCUGAGAGCUGUGAAAUGCAGUGAAAACGGAAGGCUCCGCGACCUUCGGGACCUGAUCCCAUUCUACCUGUGCAAAACUGGGAAUUUCCUGGAUGCUGCCCAUUCCCUGCUGAUCCCUGUGAACAGCCUGGCCUGCUGCUCUGCCUGCAGGAUCACUCCCUGCCAGUUCAAGAUCUACCUCAAGAUCUUCAGGACAGGCUGUGUUCCCUCUGGGAAUGAGAUGCUGGAGACAGGGCCCUGGCUUACAGCUGGAUCUCCCCUGAGGAACACUGUGCUAAUUAAGCAGGCACUCAAACUGCUCUACAGCAGCGAGGCACUCUACAGGAACCCCAAAUGUUGGAGUUCGUUCAUCAUGAUUUUGGGGAGCAGCAAUUUGCUGGAGAAGAGGGGGCACCUGCUUCCCUUAUCCCUGAAGGAGCCCCCCCUUAGCUUCCAAGAGAAUGUGCUGGCUGCCAGUGCUAACUUCCUGAAGGAUCUCAAGUCUGGAGUUAAUGUCUCUUUACCAUCUGCUAUUUUCACUGGUGAGCUGCACCAUGAGGCUUCUUUCAUCCUGGCAGUGCAAGCAGUGCAGCAGAUGCUUUGUUGUGACCUGCCCCACUUGAAUUCCUUCAUAGAGCUAGUCCUGGCUUUUGGGAAAAACUUCUGGCCUCUGAGGCUGUUGCUGGACCAACUUUCCUAUGAGGAGCACAUCCUGUGUGGCACUGCCAACCUGCUUUUGAGGGAUCUGAGUCGGGAGAAAGCCAUGAUGCUGAGAGUAUGGGAGAACCUUGGUCCCCAGUACGUGGGGGAGUUCCUGUGCCUGUUCCUAACCUCCAGACACAAGAGGAUGCAAUCUGUGGGGCUCCUCAGCCUCAACAUGGUCAUAGAGAACCUGCACCUAUGUCCCUGGGCAAAGCAGCUCUGCACCUUUUUCCAUGAAUCAGGGUUGAGGCAGCUCCCCUUUGGCACCACAGUUCACCACGAAGUUUCCAAGUUUGUCAGUGCCUUUGAGAAGCUCUGAUUUGGACCAAAUCCUCAGGAAUGUUUUCCAUUUGGUUUUUUUUUGCAUCUGAGCAGUCUCUUCCUGGAGAGUUCCUUGGGUUUGCUGUUGUUGUUUCCUCCAGGAACAGUCAGCUAAAAACUGACUGUGCUGGCUCUGCAGUGGGAACAGAGCCACGUUUUGGGAGUUUGUUGGCAGUUCCACAUAUUAAGGAGUUGUUGGAAGAGGCAGCAGGUUGGAGUCGCUUCCAGAAGCUGAGAAAAGCAGGGAAACACAGAUGGAGCAGGAAGCAGCAAAGGAUUUUUCCUCCUGUUGGGACACAAACCAAACUGCUGAGAGGGAAAAGCUUUAACCCAGGAGAAGGAGCUGACAACUCCCUUUGCAGCAGUUUUGGGGUCAAGUGCUCUGAUUUUGGGUUUCAUUCUAAACCAGGAGGCUGGAAGAUAAAACUGAGCUUUACAACCCCAGGGUGGGGCAGCCAAGAGCUGAGUUUAUUUGAGAAUAAUCCUGAUUUCAGGCUGGGCUUUUAUUUUCUGCUGAGAAGAAGAUUUAGAUUGGUGCUGGUGCCUCUGUGAAUUUCCCAAAUCCUAAUUCUGGGGGGAAUUAGGAGUUCACUCCGACCUGGGGAGAUGAAAGAACCUUUUGGAGCCUGGUUUGGGCUCUGACCCUCUCUGCACUGCUUGGGCAAGCAGGAAAACAAACCUUAAUAUGUGACCAACUGCACUUUGCACAAUUCCAGGGGUCUGGGGGCUUCUGCACCUCCUGUCAGCCCAAAUUUCCUAAAAAAAAAAUGCACCUGGAUGGAAAUUGGACACCUUGGGAAUUAAAACUGUUCAAGUUUCAUUGUUGCAUUGGCAUUUUGGGUGGUUUUUUUUUUUGUUUUUUUGGUGGUUUAUUUGGGGUUUGGGUUUUUUUAUUUUUGGUUUUUGUUUAUUUGGAGUCUUCUGUGGUUUUAUUUAUUUUUUUUAAUUGGGUUUUGGUCCUGUUUCUUGGAGGGUUGUGGUGUUUUUGGUCCUGGUUU